RNAcentral lists this ribosomal RNA (375 nucleotides) under Escherichia coli. Its description in RNAcentral is "bacterial SSU rRNA". It matches the Rfam family "Bacterial small subunit ribosomal RNA", at positions 1 to 372 of the family's 1533-position model. Lineage: Bacteria; Pseudomonadati; Pseudomonadota; Gammaproteobacteria; Enterobacterales; Enterobacteriaceae. The record is from RNAcentral.
AAAUUGAAGAGUUUGAUCAUGGCUCAGAUUGAACGCUGGCGGCAGGCCUAACACAUGCAAGUCGAACGGUAACAGGAAACAGCUUGCUGUUUCGCUGACGAGUGGCGGACGGGUGAGUAAUGUCUGGGAAACUGCCUGAUGGAGGGGGAUAACUACUGGAAACGGUAGCUAAUACCGCAUAACGUCGCAAGACCAAAGAGGGGGACCUUAGGGCCUCUUGCCAUCGGAUGUGCCCAGAUGGGAUUAGCUAGUAGGUGGGGUAAAGGCUCACCUAGGCGACGAUCCCUAGCUGGUCUGAGAGGAUGACCAGCCACACUGGAACUGAGACACGGUCCAGACUCCUACGGGAGGCAGCAGUGGGGAAUAUUGCACAAU